RNAcentral lists this unclassified non-coding RNA (323 nucleotides) under fungal sp. Its description in RNAcentral is "partial internal transcribed spacer region". The stretch from base 1 to 46 matches the Rfam family "Eukaryotic small subunit ribosomal RNA", at positions 1786 to 1831 of the family's 1831-position model. The record is from RNAcentral. Lineage: Eukaryota; Fungi.
AAGUCGUAACAAGGUUUCCGUAGGUGAACCUGCGGAAGGAUCAUUACCGAGUUAGGGUCCCUCUCACGGGGCCCGACCUCCCAACCCCGUGUCUAAUAAACCUGUACGUGUUGCUUCGGCGGACCGGUUCGCUGCGUGGUCUCACGACCACAACGCCUGCCGCCGGGGGAAAAGGAGUUCACCCUCCCCCCCUGGAGAGCGUCCGUCGAUGGCCCAACCAAACAAACUCCCAAACCAAAAUGUAUGUGAAACACAAUUCUGAAUCAGACCUUUUGAUAUACCAAUCAAAAACAAAACUUUCAACAACGGAUCUCUUGGUUCUG